RNAcentral lists this transfer RNA (63 nucleotides) under human gut metagenome. It matches the Rfam family "tRNA", at positions 6 to 65 of the family's 71-position model. Rfam says of the family: Transfer RNA (tRNA) molecules are approximately 80 nucleotides in length. The record is from RNAcentral.
AGUAGCUCAGCUGGAUAGAGCAACGGCCUUCUAAGCCGUAGGUCAGGGGUUCGAAUCCCUUCU